RNAcentral lists this ribosomal RNA (429 nucleotides) under uncultured bacterium. RNAcentral describes it as "bacterial SSU rRNA". It matches the Rfam family "Bacterial small subunit ribosomal RNA", at positions 355 to 776 of the family's 1533-position model. The record is from RNAcentral.
UGGGGAAUUUUGCGCAAUGGGCGAAAGCCUGACGCAGCAACGCCGCGUGGGUGAUGAAGGUCUUCGGAUCGUAAAACCCUGUCGUCAGGGACGAAGGUUGUAUGCCUAACAGGUGUGCAGCUUGACGGUACCUGGAGAGGAAGCCCCGGCUAACUCUGUGCCAGCAGCCGCGGUAAUACAGAGGGGGCAAGCGUUAUUCGGAAUUAUUGGGCGUAAAGGGCGCGUAGGCGGUGUCUUAAGUGAGAUGUGUAAUCCCCGAGCUUAACUUGGGAACUGCAUCUCAGACUGGGGCGCUAGAGUACUGGAGAGGGUGGUAGAAUUCCACGUGUAGCGGUGAAAUGCGUAGAGAUGUGGAGGAAUACCAGUGGCGAAGGCGGCCACCUGGACAGUAACUGACGCUGAGGCGCGAAAGUGUGGGUAGCAAACAGG